This 253-nucleotide ribosomal RNA is filed under the name uncultured bacterium. Its description in RNAcentral is "partial 16S ribosomal RNA". It matches the Rfam family "Bacterial small subunit ribosomal RNA", at positions 524 to 776 of the family's 1533-position model. The record is from RNAcentral.
UACGAAGGGGGCUAGCGUUGCUCGGAAUCACUGGGCGUAAAGGGUGCGUAGGCGGGUCUUUAAGUCCGGGGUGAAAUCCUGGAGCUCAACUCCAGAACUGCCUUUGAUACUGGAGAGCUUGAGUCCGGAAGAGGUGAGUGGAACUCCGAGUGUAGAGGUGAAAUUCGUAGAUAUUCGGAAGAACACCAGUGGCGAAGGCGGCUCACUGGUCCGGUACUGACGCUGAGGUGCGAAAGCGUGGGGAGCAAACAGG